CAGUCGCCACGGGAAUACGUAGGUGGCAAGCGUUAUCCGGAAUUAUUGGGCGUAAAGCGCGCGUAGGCGGUUUUUUAAGUCUGAUGUGAAAGCCCACGGCUCAACCGUGGAGGGUCAUUGGAAACUGGAAAACUUGAGUGCAGAAGAGGAAAGUGGAAUUCCAUGUGUAGCGGUGAAAUGCGCAGAGAUAUGGAGGAACACCAGUGGCGAAGGCGACUUUCUGGUCUGUAACUGACGCUGAUGUGCGAAAGCGUGGGGAUCAAACAGGAUUAGAUACCCGUGUAGUCCCUGUCUCUUAUAC
RNAcentral lists this ribosomal RNA (301 nucleotides) under uncultured bacterium. Its description in RNAcentral is "partial 16S ribosomal RNA". It matches the Rfam family "Bacterial small subunit ribosomal RNA", at positions 509 to 807 of the family's 1533-position model. The record is from RNAcentral.